UUUUUAUUUUCUUGCUUCGUUUUGGAGAUAUUUCAUUUUGCAUGAUAUGCAAAGGACCAACUUUCUACGUUACACAUGCAUAAUGACUUACUUUAAAAUGUUAUAUAAUUUUGUCACUAUCAAAUAGAUUCGCUCAUAAUGAAUGAUGAGCACGAGAUUUGUCCACAACAACACCCAUGUAGGUUUUCUACUGAUUGUGUUUGGUCGUAUUAAAGAUAUACAGCUUUUAGGGCUAAAUCAUUAUGCAUAUG
Paramuricea clavata is the source of this 251-nucleotide non-coding RNA. The record is from the annotation of a GenBank genome assembly. Lineage: Eukaryota; Metazoa; Cnidaria; Anthozoa; Malacalcyonacea; Plexauridae.